UAGUCCACGCCGUAAACGAUGUCGAUUUGGAGGUUGUGCCCUUGAGGCGUGGCUUCCGGAGCUAACGCGUUAAAUCGACCGCCUGGGGAGUACGGCCGCAAGGUUAAAACUCAAAUGAAUUGACGGGGGCCCGCACAAGCGGUGGAGCAUGUGGUUUAAUUCGAUGCAACGCGAAGAACCUUACCUGGUCUUGACAUCCACAGAACUUUCCAGAGAUGGAUUGGUGCCUUCGGGAACUGUGAGACAGGUGCUGCAUGGCUGUCGUCAGCUCGUGUUGUGAAAUGUUGGGUUAAGUCCCGCAACGAGCGCAACCCUUAUCCUUUGUUGCCAGCGGUUAGGCCGGGAACUCAAAGGAGACUGCCAGUGAUAAACUGGAGGAAGGUGGGGAUGACGUCAAGUCAUCAUGGCCCUUACGACCAGGGCUACACACGUGCUACAAUGGCGCAUACAAAGAGAAGCGACCUCGCGAGAGCAAGCGGACCUCAUAAAGUGCGUCGUAGUCCGGAUUGGAGUCUGCAACUCGACUCCAUGAAGUCGGAAUCGCUAGUAAUCGUAGAUCAGAAUGCUACGGUGAAUACGUUCCCGGGCCUUGUACACACCGCCCGUCACACCAUGGGAGUGGGUUGCAAAAGAAGUAGGUAGCUUAACCUUCGGGAGGGCGCUUACCACUUUGUGAUUCAUGACUGGGGUGAAGUCGUAAAAAGGUAACAAAAAAGGGCAGGGGGG
This 726-nucleotide ribosomal RNA is filed under the name Enterobacter cloacae. RNAcentral's name for it is "bacterial SSU rRNA". It matches the Rfam family "Bacterial small subunit ribosomal RNA", at positions 791 to 1533 of the family's 1533-position model. The record is from RNAcentral. Lineage: Bacteria; Pseudomonadati; Pseudomonadota; Gammaproteobacteria; Enterobacterales; Enterobacteriaceae.